CGCGGGGUGGAGCAGCCUGGUAGCUCGUCGGGCUCAUAACCCGGAGGUCGUCGGUUCAAAUCCGACCCCCGCAACCA
RNAcentral lists this transfer RNA (77 nucleotides) under Acidipila sp. RNAcentral's name for it is "tRNA-Met". It matches the Rfam family "tRNA". From Rfam's summary of the family: Transfer RNA (tRNA) molecules are approximately 80 nucleotides in length. Their secondary structure includes four short double-helical elements and three loops (D, anti-codon, and T loops). RNAcentral also lists the same sequence under 11 other names. The record is from RNAcentral. Lineage: Bacteria; Pseudomonadati; Acidobacteriota; Terriglobia; Terriglobales; Acidobacteriaceae.